Tetranychus urticae (two-spotted spider mite) is the source of this 3316-nucleotide long non-coding RNA. RefSeq lists it as uncharacterized. NCBI's taxonomy places the organism in Eukaryota, Metazoa, Arthropoda, Arachnida, Trombidiformes, Tetranychidae. The record is from RefSeq and is a predicted model, not a curated record.
UUGAACAGACGGUUCUAAUUAGGAGGGAAUUAACCCUUUUGGAUGAUAUCUUUGAAUUAAAAGUUAAUUUUUUAUAUAUUUUUCACAAUUAUUUUUCCUUUUUCCUUCUUUAAUUAUGGCCAUCUAUCAACCGGUACAGGAGCUUAUCUCAUUUUGAACUCUUUUAUCCUCGUGUUAUCUCUUGCUCCUUUUGGAUUGCACGAUUAUCAAAUGAUUUUUAAAUUCAAUUUACUAAAUUGAAUGUGCUUUGAAUCGGUUAACUUUAUCGUGGUUUUGGAUUAAACUCAGGGAAAAGUGCAUUUUUGAAUUGAUUAAUCAUUUAAAGAAAAAGGUCAAUUUCUGUCCUGGUCUUAAAUCAUUUCCACCUUCACCUGUAUUAAACCGUUACAAUCAGUUUAACCUGAUUUGUAAUCGUCGUGGAAGAGCAACAAUUCAAUCACUGACCAAUUACAUCGCUACUCCAAUCGCACAAUCGAUGUUGUUUAACAUUGAUUGUUGAGGAGUUGAGUGUCCAAUUAUUUUUUGCUCAUGUGAGAGCAAAAGAGCUGUUACUGAUCAAUUUUUUCACAACAAAAUCCAAUGGUUCAAGAAAAGAAACAAUUUACAAUUGUAAUUGGUAUUGAAUCAAAAAAAUUAUGAGUGGGAAUGGCAUUAGCUGUUUUGAGGGCAAUUAUAAGAAACACCUUUAACCACCUAAUUUGAUUAUUAUUGUAUUUUGAAUCAAUUUUGGAGCAGAAAAAUAAAUCAAGUUGACAAUCAAAAUUGUUUACAAGUCACCUUUGUUUACUGAAGGAGUUUUAUUAUGCUGUUGAUGACACUGAAUUGGUCUUUUGCUUGUAUUCAACUAAACGAAGUGGACUAAAAGCUUUAAAUCUUGGAUACCAAUUGGAAAUAAAUUUGCCAUUUGAUUUGAUUCAUUACCGAUUAUGAUGGAUACAGAUAUACGGUAAUUGUGAUUGUAUUGCUCAAUAUGGAUUGUUCAAUUGAAAGUAUCGCACAAUAAUGACCGAUACACGAUAUAAUGGUCUAAUCUGUUGAUUGUGAUGUUACUCUGCAAUUUAAGAUGUAACGACUGAGCAUUAAGAAUUGUUUGGAUGGGCAAAGAAAAGCGUUUAACAUUACUUUGCAGCUAAAUUGUCUUUUCCGAUUUCAAUUAUUGUUGAUGCCUUCAAACGUGAUUAAUUUGGAGUUGAAACAAUUGCGAGUUCGAGAAUAACCAACCCUAUUAGUGGCAAUUAGCAAUAAUGAGAAUCAAAUAUACAAAUCAAGUGAUUAAGGGAAAUACUAUUAUGGUUAAUGAAUUAUGCUGAUUACCAUAACAAACGUUGGCGUUUGGUCAUUUCGCAUUUAAACGGAUUUUCAUUUGAAUCGUGAUUUGGUCAUUUCUGGUUCAUUGUAUGUCCACAGACAAACAAUGAUAGAUAGGAUGCUGAUGAUGAUGGAGAAGGCGGAAACAAAAAAGUGAAAGUAAAAAAAUGAAAAGCAAUCCAAAUAAACAAUGGGAAGAAGAUGUCAGGAAAAGUGAAUUAUCUGUAUUAUGAGCAUUUCAACUGGAACCAAAAUAAAGUUCAUUGAAGCAUCACUCGUAAUCAUUAAGCAUGAAUCUUGAACAAACAAACAAAUAAACAAAGUAAAGAGAUGAUAAAUCAACAGCUCAAUACAUGAACACUUUAAAAAGGUUUCAACAACAGAUUUUAUCCUGCAAAAAAGACGGCAAUAAAGAUGGUGAAAAAAAAAUCAAAAUCCGUUUACAAAAUAAUGAAUGUUAUUGGACUCGGUUUUAUGACUUCAUAAAACAAUGUUGAGAUGUUUGUGGCGAUAAUAUAAAUUGUUGGGCGAAUCUCUAUGCAUCAUUGUAAAAGAGACGGAAACCAAUUGUCCAUUCAAGUUAUGCUCAAGAUAGAUGGAUGAUACUAAUUGUGUUGAUUGUGGUGAUAAUGAUGAUCAUAAAAAGAACCAAGGAAGUCGAGAUGAAACAUGACGAUUAUGAUGAUUAGUUGUUAGUAGACUGAUUGACGGACCAGACUGGUGACUUGUUGGUGGCUGUUGCGUGACCCUAAUAGCUCAACAAUCUGGUCUUUGGUUGGCCUCUCACACACUCAUUCACUUUAUACUCAUUGAUCUUUACCACAACAAUCACCAUUAUCAAAACAAUCAGAUGAAAUAAACAGUGAAAGGGAACCAUUUUGUUAUUUGGUGAUGCUUUGAGAUGUUCCGGUUUUUUUUUGGUGGUUGAUCUCCAAAACAGAUUUUGGUUUCACCAACAAGUUGCCAACAACAAUGAUAAUGAUGUUGUGUGGCGAUGAUGAUGAUGGUGCUUGUGCUGGUGAUAAUGAUUAUGAUGAUGAACAUGAAACACACGCCAGUUUCUUACCUUAGUUAACAGCUUGAUACAUUUGAAUGUUUUCCCUCUUCAUCUAACCAUUCAACCUCUAUGAGCUCUAUUGCUUUAUAAACUUUCAACCCUUGUAACACAUUUAUGAAUAGGAAGUAUACUUUUGCUGCUUCACUAUCAUCAACCUCAUCAACAUGAACCUUUCAAUAGCCAUGCAAUUAAAUUCUCAUUCAAUUAGACCAGUUAUUGAGUUACCGAAAAAAAAUAACAACUUUCCCGUACUGAUCCAUUAUUAUGUAUAAAUAUAUCUGAAUAUCAUCUGAAGCUUUAAGGUGACGAUGGAAUACAGUUUAGUUAAAACAGUUUUCACAUUUAAAUUUGAUUGUUUACUUUUGUUUAGAUUGAUAAUAACAUUAAUACCAUUUCAAUUGUUGGUAAUGAUGAUUGUAAUGAUGAUAAUCAUAAUGAUCUAAUCAUGAGGUUGAUGAUGGUGAUUAACUGUUAACAAUAUUGUCAAAUUUAGGAUAGGAAAUGAUAGAUUGACUUAGGUUGGGUUAGACCUAACCCAUUGAAAAGCAAAAACUGUAUGCACACUUAAACCAUUAUCUGUCCAUCCUUUUGUUUAAUCAACUUAGAUAAUCUUUUAGCUAUUAAUUCAUAAACAUUACAAACAUUGAAACUUUAUUUGAUCAGCUCAGUGCAAGAUUCAAUAUACAAAAUUUAAAUUGUCCAGCAGACACCAAUUAUAACCUGUUAACCCAACACUUUACACACUCACACACAUUGGCUAUCAGUUGUGUCUACCUUGUGUCUAAUGUUGAUCAUUAUUACCAUUAGAAUCCUCUUUUUGCCAUUGUUGUUAUAAUUAUUAUCAUUAUCAAAUUGAGAUAAAUUGAAUUGUUGGUGAAUUGGUUUUGAUUCGAUGUUGGGUUGAAAAUAGCCUUACAAAUGUAUUAAAGUAAAGGUAACAUGAAGUUGAAA